This 397-nucleotide ribosomal RNA is filed under the name uncultured bacterium. RNAcentral's name for it is "partial 16S ribosomal RNA". It matches the Rfam family "Bacterial small subunit ribosomal RNA", at positions 523 to 918 of the family's 1533-position model. The record is from RNAcentral.
AUACGUAGGGGGCGAGCGAUGUCCGGAAUGAUUGGGCGUCAAGGGCGCGUAGGCGGCGCGGUAAGUCUGGAGUGAAAGUCCUGCUUUCAAGGUGGGAAUUGCUUUGGAUACUGCCGCGCAUGAGUGCAGGAGAGGUUAUCGGAAUUCCCGGAGUAGCGGUGAAAUGCGUAGAGAUCGGGAGGAACACCAGUGGCGAAGGCGGGUAACUGGACUGCAACUGACGCUGAGGCGCGAAAGUGUGGGGAGCAAACAGGAUUAGAUACCCUGGUAGUCCACACUGUAAACGAUGAAUGCUAGGUGUAAGAGGUAUCGACCCCUUUUGUGCCGGAGUCAACACAAUAAGCAUUCCGCCUGGGGAGUACGGCCGCAAGGUUGAAACUCAAAUGAAUUGACGGGG